RNAcentral lists this small RNA (520 nucleotides) under Arabidopsis thaliana (thale cress). RNAcentral describes it as "putative long intergenic non-coding RNA". Lineage: Eukaryota; Viridiplantae; Streptophyta; Magnoliopsida; Brassicales; Brassicaceae. The record is from RNAcentral.
UUCACAUGCCUUCAUCUUCUUUCCACCAAGUUCUUCAUUUGUCAUGACAUCUAAGUUCUUGUCAUUUGUCAUGCCUUCAUAUUCAACAGCUCCAAAGGUGGGGAUCGCGUCGUUGAACACUUUAAUCGCAUGUAUCUCGCUGGAAUGCAAAACGGCAUCAUACUGAUCGGUUAUGGAGUUAUACCGAUCGGUUCUCUAUUUGGUCUCAUACUUAUCGGUUGUUGUAAGUAAACCGAUCAGUAUCAAUCUCCGUUUCCAGCUUCUUCUCAUUCUCGAAUGUGAUGGUAUUGACAUGCUACUUAGACUUUGAGUAAGAAACGAUAUCAGAGACUCGCUUCAAACUUCACAUAUCUCUUCAUCUUCUGUUGGAUUUAAUAAUUCACAUAUGACUUAUCAUAUGAAGAAAAGAAACUUUGAUUAUGUCUCUCGUUUCGAUUAUUUUCCUACUAAAAAUAAUUCUCAUUUUACAAAAGUUUCUUUCACUCAAACCAACAUAAAUAGGUAUACUCCUAUUUUCCCC